CUGCUGCUCGUCAGUGCAAAAUGCAGAGUUUGCAUGCAGCCUUAAUUAGAAGUCUCCGCAACCUGCCUUGCGCCGUUCUCCAUGCACCAUGCGCCGCGGCGCUGCGCUAAGACGUCGUUUCCUCAUUCCGAGACCAACAUCCUACAUUCGUCUAAACAUAGUUCCUCUACUGGAAAUAGACAGCGUGCGUCUCACAAAUUCACCCUGCGACAGUGUCUUGCCAAACGCAGAAGGGCUGGCUCUGCUGUGGGCUGCAGGGCUGAACUUCCCCCAUCGCUCCGUCCCAUUGAUCUUUCCCGUAAGGCCAGCCAUGCCGAGGAGUGCUGCUGGGAGCCCCUGCUUCAAACUCUCGUAUUUACUCUUCGGAAUUUGGAGAAAAGUGCAGUUGUGGGCGCAACCAGCAGCCUCGGUCGAUAAUGGCCCCGGUCCUUUUGACCCCCCCUCCUGGCUAAUAAAGUGCUUUUUGGCUUUGGCGCCUUCUCCUCAAGUCUUCGGAGGCAGUCUCAGGCCACAGCUAACAUUGGUUUCCAUUCUCUGUUCUCGUAAAUAGAUUUCAGUAAUUUGCUCUCCGGAAUUUGUGGCGGAACAGUAUUGAAUAGAAAAUAUAUUGACUUAUUUUGCUUUCAGUUUUUUAAGGCC
RNAcentral lists this long non-coding RNA (639 nucleotides) under Scleropages formosus (Asian bonytongue). RNAcentral describes it as "lncRNA (ENSSFOG00015026628.1)". Lineage: Eukaryota; Metazoa; Chordata; Actinopteri; Osteoglossiformes; Osteoglossidae. The record is from RNAcentral.